UGGGCCUCACCUGCACAACCUUACAUAGGAGAAAAGGAGGCUGGAGGGCUGGGACAUGAUCCAACAACAGAACACAGUUAUGCCACCGUGACAUCCAGUUAUCAUCGUUUUCAUUCCAACUGUCAAAUUAGCCAAAUGUGUCAAGGCUGAAACGCUUCACGCUCAUAAAUUAUGGCCUCGCUUGAAAACUUUUAUUUUUUUAGUAAUAUCACGAUUGCAAGCUUGCCAACAAGCAGACACAAACAGGAAAUCAAAAGCCCGUCACCACGGCGACCACAAACGCUGUGAUUUUGUUUUGAAAGGAAAAGACAAGCUAGCAAAGAUCAACAGAUGGCACGGGUGGAGAUCAGUCACUCUGCUGGCCUCCCUGAUGAUGCUCGCCCGCUUCAUUCCAGACAUAUACGCGCACACACAUGGAUGAAGAGACAGAGCAGCAGAGGCCGCAGAGGGUCUUAAAGCAGCCCACGCUCUUCCUGCUAUUGUUUCAUCUCAGGGACCCUUCGCAAGGGCUAAUAUCCACUCGUCUGGCUGUUCUGUUACCAUGGCGAUAGAAGCCCCUUUACAAACUCCCUAAACAAGAGGCAUUUAUGAACGGUACUGACACGGAAUGAGGUUACUAAGUCGAGCGGGCAAUUUGGAAGAGGUAGUCAGGCUGAAAAUUUUACACCUUCUAAACAGUCAAAAAACAAAACCCACUUUCACCCUGCCUGUUAAAAAAAAAAAAAAAGUCUAUUUUUCACAUCGUUUUAUACGAACGGUACUGACAUCAAACUGGGUGACAAAGUCGAUGGGACAAUUUUCUGCUGUUGGAAGUCCUUGAAAUGAAAGUCCUGUUUUUCCGUUUUGUAUUCUGAGCAAUGUUGACGGCGGGAUUGUAUGGCGGUGGGCUUACCUUGUGACAUGUGUGCUUUAAGCAGGAUUGCUAAAUUCCUUAAGGCCUUCAGCUGCUUUAGGAGAGGCUGGGAGAAGGGCCUGGCAUCUGCUGCUCACUCUCCUGGCUCCAAACUAAGUGAAAACAAUUCAGUGCUAUUAAUGAAAUGCUGACUUGGUUGAAGAAGAAAAACCACAAUGCCACACAAAAAUUUACUUUUACGAGUAAUAAUAAUAAUCAUGUCAGAGCCAGAUCGUUCGGUUUCUCUUUUGGACACACUCCCUAAAACUGGACCAUCAUCUCGUGUAAUGUCAUGAGAUUUCUUCUAACCUUGUAAUAUAAGAAAUCCAAUAGGUAAACGGAGGUGCAGUGAGUUUUGUUGGAGGCACAGAUUAGCGCGAGCUAGCAAGGUUAGCACACAUGAUUUUCAGAGGAAUGAAAAGCUUACUGGCCAUUGGCCCUAAUACUUUUUCUUAGAAUGGGCUAAUUUCAACAAGACAAAAGAUAAGGUGCGGUUAUUUUUGAUGAAACCAUGUUACAGUCAAAAACUUGAAACAGUAAAUAUUGUGAAAUAAGGCGUAAUGUCUUCAAGAAAAAGACUCAAAUCACAUUGUUAAGCAAAUACUUGAUUAGCGUCGGAUUAAUCUCGCGUUAGUUCACAAAGAGGAAAGCUUUACCAGAACUGAUGAUUACAUAAACGCACAGACAAAAGGGGCUAUACAAGCCAUUUCUAUUUUUAACCUCUGCUUUCAAAUAUCCUGCUUUGGGAUUAGGCAUCAUUUGAAGGGGCCAACGCACAUUGCUGCCCAGCAAGCGCAGUAGCACGGGUUGCUGUGAC
This is a long non-coding RNA of Syngnathus acus (greater pipefish), 1709 nucleotides long. RefSeq lists it as uncharacterized. NCBI's taxonomy places the organism in Eukaryota, Metazoa, Chordata, Actinopteri, Syngnathiformes, Syngnathidae. The transcript is spliced from 3 exons. The record is from RefSeq and is a predicted model, not a curated record.